GACGUAGGGCGCGAGCGUUGUCCGGAUUUAUUGGGCGUAAAGAGCUCGUAGGCGGCUUGUCGCGUCGAAUGUGAAAACUCGGGGCUCAACUCCGAGCUUGCAUUCGAUACGGGCAGGCUAGAGUUCGGUAGGGGAGACUGGAAUUCCUGGUGUAGCGGUGAAAUGCGCAGAUAUCAGGAGGAACACCGGUGGCGAAGGCGGGUCUCUGGGCAGUAACUGACGCUGAGGAGCGAAAGCGUGGGGAGCGAACAGG
RNAcentral lists this ribosomal RNA (253 nucleotides) under uncultured bacterium. Its description in RNAcentral is "partial 16S ribosomal RNA". It matches the Rfam family "Bacterial small subunit ribosomal RNA", at positions 524 to 776 of the family's 1533-position model. The record is from RNAcentral.